AUGAAUGUGGAAGUGUGGAAAGGAACCCUAGAACACCAUAGUGAAUUGCAGAAGGUUUGGCUUCAACUGGAUGGGGUUGCACCAGCCUGGGCUGAGUGGGCAGUCUUGAAGCAGUUUGCAUCUGUUUUGGGGACCCUGAUUGAUGUUGAUUGGCAAGGAAACUUCAAAUCAUUCUUCGAGGUAGUCAGAAUCAAGAUGAAAUGCAAGGAUCAUACAAAAAUCCCCCCUGAAAGGCUGUUUGGCAUAGGAGACAAACUGUUCAGGAUUGGUAUCAUUGUAGAACCACCAGAAGAAGACCUAGAAAUGGAUGAUCUGUUAGAAGACGAACUAACUAACAAAGCAAAUGGCAACAAGCUGGACAAAUCCAAAAAGGAGGAAUAA
Molecule: ribosomal RNA, 381 nt
Filed under: Triticum aestivum (bread wheat)
Lineage: Eukaryota; Viridiplantae; Streptophyta; Magnoliopsida; Poales; Poaceae
Description: partial small subunit ribosomal RNA
Source: RNAcentral